RNAcentral lists this ribosomal RNA (352 nucleotides) under uncultured bacterium. Its description in RNAcentral is "bacterial SSU rRNA". It matches the Rfam family "Bacterial small subunit ribosomal RNA", at positions 29 to 377 of the family's 1533-position model. The record is from RNAcentral.
AGUGAACGCUGGCGGCGUGGAUUAGGCAUGCAAGUCGAGCGAUCUCGCAAGAGAUAGCGGCAAAUGGGUUAGGAACACGUAAGUAAUUUUCCUCUUAUUCAGACAUAGCCCUAUGAAAAUAGGGGUAAUAUUUGAUGGUACCAUAGACCGGCAUCUGUUUAUGGUUAAAGACGGGGACCGCAAGGCCUGUCGAUAAGAGAUGAGCUUGCGUAGCAUCAGCUAGUUGGUAGGGUAACGGCCUACCAAGGCUAUGACGCUUAGCUGGUCUGAGAGGACGAUCAGCAACACUGGGACUGAGACACUGCCCAGACUCCUACGGGAGGCUGCAGUCGAGAAUCUUUAGCAAUGGGCG